RNAcentral lists this ribosomal RNA (499 nucleotides) under uncultured Glomeromycotina. RNAcentral's name for it is "partial small subunit ribosomal RNA". It matches the Rfam family "Eukaryotic small subunit ribosomal RNA", at positions 591 to 1092 of the family's 1831-position model. The record is from RNAcentral. Lineage: Eukaryota; Fungi; Glomeromycota.
CCAAUAGCGUAUAUUAAAGUUGUUGCAGUUAAAAAGCUCGUAGUUGAAUUUCGGGAUCAGACUGUCGGUCGUGCCUCGGUACGCACUGGCAUUAUUGGUUCCUACCUUCUGAAGAACCGCGAUGUCAUUAAUUUGGUGUCGCGGGGAAUCAGGACUGUUACUUUGAAAAAAUUAGAGUGUUUAAAGCAGGCUUACGCUUGAAUACAUUAGCAUGGAAUAAUGAAAUAGGACGUUUGAUUCUAUUUUGUUGGUUUCUAGGAUCGACGUAAUGAUUAAUAGGGAUAGUUGGGGGCAUUAGUAUUCAAUUGUCAGAGGUGAAAUUCUUGGAUUUAUUGAAGACUAACUACUGCGAAAGCAUUUGCCAAGGAUGUUUUCAUUAAUCAAGAACGAAAGUUAGGGGAUCGAAGACGAUCAGAUACCGUCGUAGUCUUAACCAUAAACUAUGCCGACUAGGGAUCGGAUGAUGUUAAUUUUAUAAUGACUCAUUCGGCGCCUUACG